This 748-nucleotide ribosomal RNA is filed under the name uncultured Lachnospiraceae bacterium. RNAcentral describes it as "bacterial SSU rRNA". It matches the Rfam family "Bacterial small subunit ribosomal RNA", at positions 28 to 776 of the family's 1533-position model. The record is from RNAcentral. Lineage: Bacteria; Bacillati; Bacillota; Clostridia; Lachnospirales; Lachnospiraceae.
GAUGAACGCUGGCGGCGUGCUUAACACAUGCAAGUCGAACGAAGCUGCUAAAAGGAAGUCUUCGGAUGGAAUUUUAGUAGACUUAGUGGCGGACGGGUGAGUAACGCGUGGAUAACCUGCCUUAUACAGGGGGAUAACGGAGAGAAAUUUCCGCUAAGACCGCAUAAGACCACAGCACCGCAUGGUGCAGGGGUAAAAUAUUUAUAGGUAUAAGAUGGAUCCGCGUCCGAUUAGCUAGUUGGUGAGGUAGAGGCUCACCAAGGCGACGAUCGGUAGCCGGCCUGAGAGGGUGAACGGCCACAUUGGGACUGAGACACGGCCCAAACUCCUACGGGAGGCAGCAGUGGGGAAUAUUGGACAAUGGGGGAAACCCUGAUCCAGCGACGCCGCGUGAGUGAAGAAGUAUUUCGGUAUGUAAAGCUCUAUCAGCAGGGAAGAAAAUGACGGUACCUGACUAAGAAGCCCCGGCUAACUACGUGCCAGCAGCCGCGGUAAUACGUAGGGGGCAAGCGUUAUCCGGAUUUACUGGGUGUAAAGGGAGCGCAGACGGCGAAGCAAGUCUGAAGUGAAAUGCAUGGGCUCAACCCAUGAAUUGCUUUGGAAACUGUUUGGCUUGAGUGUCGGAGGGGUAAGCGGAAUUCCUAGUGUAGCGGUGAAAUGCGUAGAUAUUAGGAGGAACACCAGUGGCGAAGGCGGCUCUCUGGUCUGCAACUGACGCUGAGGCUCGAAAGCAUGGGUAGCGAACAGG